CAGCCGCCGCGGUAAUACGGAGGGGGCUAGCGUUGUUCGGAAUUACUGGGCGUAAAGCGCACGUAGGCGGCGAUUUAAGUCAGAGGUGAAAGCCCGGGGCUCAACCCCGGAACUGCCUUUGAAACUAGGUGACUAGAAUCUUGGAGAGGUCAGUGGAAUUCCGAGUGUAGAGGUGAAAUUCGUAGAUAUUCGGAAGAACACCAGUGGCGAAGGCGACUGACUGGACAAGUAUUGACGCUGAGGUGCGAAAGCGUGGGGAGCAAACAGGAUUAGAUACCCCUGUAGUCCCUGUCUCUUAUAC
This 301-nucleotide ribosomal RNA is filed under the name uncultured bacterium. RNAcentral's name for it is "partial 16S ribosomal RNA". It matches the Rfam family "Bacterial small subunit ribosomal RNA", at positions 509 to 807 of the family's 1533-position model. The record is from RNAcentral.